ACAGGGACCUGAAGCCGGA
Molecule: microRNA, 19 nt
Filed under: Pteropus alecto (black flying fox)
Lineage: Eukaryota; Metazoa; Chordata; Mammalia; Chiroptera; Pteropodidae
Description: pal-miR-10013-3p
Source: miRBase by way of RNAcentral